AACAAACGCUGGCGGCGUGCCUAAUACAUGCAAGUCGAACGGGGAAAGCCUUCGGGUGAGUACUAGUGGCGCACGGGUGAGUAACACGUGGGUAAUCUGCUUUAGAGUGGGGGAUAACCAGUCGAAAGAUUGGCUAAUACCGCAUAAGACCACAGGAUCUGCGGAUCUAGGGGUCAAAGGUUUUUCGCUCUAAAAUAGAGCCCGCGCGGGAUUAGCUAGUUGGUGAGGUAACGGCCUACCAAGGCGACGAUCGGUAGCUGGUCUGAGAGGAUGAUCAGCCACACUGGGACGUGAGACACGGCCCAGACUCCUACGGGAGGCAGCAGUGGGGAA
This 333-nucleotide ribosomal RNA is filed under the name uncultured bacterium. RNAcentral describes it as "bacterial SSU rRNA". It matches the Rfam family "Bacterial small subunit ribosomal RNA", at positions 29 to 361 of the family's 1533-position model. The record is from RNAcentral.